GAUGAACGCUAGCGGCAGGCCUAACACAUGCAAGUCGAGGGAGAAGCCCUUUCGGGGGCCGAAACCGGCGCACGGGUGCGUAACGCGUAUGCAACCUACCUUUCACAGGGGGAUAGCCCGAAGAAAUUUGGAUUAAUACCCCAUAAUAUUAUUGGAUGGCAUCAUUUGAUAAUUAAAACUGCGGUGGUGAAAGAUGGGCAUGCGUCCUAUUAGCUAGUUGGAGUGGUAACGGCACCCCAAGGCUACGAUAGGUAGGGGUCCUGAGAGGGAGAUCCCCCACACUGGUACUGAGACAGGGACCAGACUCCUACGGGAGGCAGCAGUGAGGAAUAUUGGUCAAUGGUCGGAAGACUGAACCAGCCAUGCCGCGUGCAGGAAGAAUGCCUUAUGGGUUGUAAACUGCUUUUAUAGGGGAAGAAUAAGGCGUACGUGUACGUUGAUGACGGUACCAUAUGAAUAAGCAUCGGCUAACUCCGUG
This 478-nucleotide ribosomal RNA is filed under the name uncultured bacterium. RNAcentral's name for it is "partial 16S ribosomal RNA". It matches the Rfam family "Bacterial small subunit ribosomal RNA", at positions 28 to 507 of the family's 1533-position model. The record is from RNAcentral.